GCCCAAGGUGCUGCCUCUCUUCCCUGCUCGACUCCUACUCAUUGCUCCACCCACAAGCUCCGUUCUGCUAAUUGCAUUGCUGGUGCUGCUGCUGGAACACGGCGUUCUUCAGGGAGGAACCAAGAAGCAGCAUGAGGACCUUACACACAGUAAGCCAUCAGUGAAUGGACACAUCAGGGGUGCUGUUUGUGGUGUAAAGGAUUUGUAAAGUGAAGAUUUAUCCCUCAACUUUACAUGCUGACUUUGCUUAAAACAAGAUUCAACUGUAAGGGGAAAUGAGUGAGCAGGAGAAGAUUUAACUGAAGAGGUGACACUUGAGCUGGACCUUGAAAUUGGAAUUCUCCUAGCAGAUGGGACUGGUCCCACCACUGAUGUAUCUUCCGAAGAUGCAUGUCUGGGGCUUGAGUGGGGGAGCAGCGCGGUGGCUGGAGACGAGGGACGCAUCACUCCUCAUCACGGAAUGAGAGGCAUUACGGGCCAAAGAAGAGAGCUCUGAGGUUGUACAAGCCUGGAUUUGUUUGCCAGUUCUGACACUAAUUAGCUGUGUGACUCUGGGUGGUUUAUUAACUCAUCUGAGCCUCAGUUUCCACAUCUGUAAACAUGAGGUGACGGUAUCUCUUGUACUUGGUUGUUGAGAUUAUUCAGUGAGAUACCAUGUGUGAAAGCACCUAGCAUGGUAUGUGGCUUUGACUAGGAGCUCAAUGAAUACCACCUCCCUUACUUCACUUCCUGGAACUCUGGUCUUUAUUCCAUCUAAGGCCUUCUUGGCAGCCACCCAGCAGGCAUGCUGGUGGGCAUCUUAUUGGAUGGAAAGUCUUGG
RNAcentral lists this long non-coding RNA (820 nucleotides) under Equus asinus (donkey). RNAcentral describes it as "lncRNA (ENSEASG00005000948.2)". Lineage: Eukaryota; Metazoa; Chordata; Mammalia; Perissodactyla; Equidae. The record is from RNAcentral.